AAUUAUUUCUAUUCUAUCCUCUAUUAGCUCUAAUAAAGAUAAUCUGUUAUAUUAAACCACUGAUGGCUAAUUUUAAAAUUCUAAGUUGAAUCGCGUUUAACGGCACGAUCGAAACAGAUACGAAAAGCGACGAUAAGACUUAACCUCGCGCAUGCGCAAACUGUGGACUUUAUCGGUCAGAGCUGAACCGUGGCUGUCAGGAAACUUUUUAUUAUUUACUAAAAUAUACAAUAUAUUGACUAUUGCAAUGAUGGGGAUUCGCUAUACAGGUAGCCUUCGGUUUACGCCGCUGUUCCGUUCCUACAAAAGCCAGCGCAAAUCGAAUCGGCGUAAAAUGAACCUAUAUUUACAGUGAGGUAUAGGAUUAGGUUCUACAUAGGUGAAAAAUAAG
Molecule: long non-coding RNA, 391 nt
Filed under: Androctonus crassicauda
Lineage: Eukaryota; Metazoa; Arthropoda; Arachnida; Scorpiones; Buthidae
Source: RNAcentral